RNAcentral lists this long non-coding RNA (950 nucleotides) under Fukomys damarensis (Damara mole-rat). RNAcentral describes it as "lncRNA (ENSFDAG00000024897.1)". Lineage: Eukaryota; Metazoa; Chordata; Mammalia; Rodentia; Bathyergidae. The record is from RNAcentral.
GUUCGCUGCAGGCCCAGAAAAAGCCCAAAGGUUGGGACACAAAAACAGACACUUCAUCUUUUCUUCCUAAUGCCGUUCUCUAGUAGGGGAAGGAUUAUAGACUGAAAGGUGGUGGGGGGGGAAGGGGCAGGAGGAGGAAGCAGGGGAGGCAGGAAUGAAAAAGGGGAGGGGAGUGGGUAUUGUGCCGCGUGUGGGGGGAGAAUUCCUACGGGUGGGUUUCCGAAUAUUGUGUUCAACUUUUUGAAAGCAGCUCGUGACCCCGAAACUACAUCCCCCGGACCUGGGGACCCAGGCGCCGGGCAGGCGAAUGAACCGGGCCGGUCCCUCCCUAUUCCCUCAACCCCCCGCCUCCGGGUGUGGGCGACCCGGCCUCUCCCCGUCGCUUUGGUGCCAGCCGGGGAGGGAGGCUGGGCAGGUGCCGCAGGCUUUGCUGAAAGCACCGAAAUUGAAAAUCCUCGCUUGAAGGGCUAACUGAGGAAAUUCGCGCAGAGACUACGCUCCGUGAUACCCCAGCCUCUACUGGGGAGCCUGCGGAACCUGCACCCCGCCUGUUGGGUGGCGGCCGCGAUCCAGGAGCGCAAACCCGGGAGGAGGGCGGCGGCGAGCGCGCAGCUUUGUGCUCCGGCCCUCGGCUUCGCGCUGCCGGGCUGGCAGCAGCCCCCGGCUGUCUUCGCCUCCCCGCAGAGCCCAGUUCGCAGCGCCCAAUUCGCCCACCUCGCGGCCCUCCACCGCCAGCGCCUCUCGGCCCUAGCCCGAAGCCCUACGCACGGCGCCUGAAGUCACAAAGUUUGGAGAUUCACCAAGCUGAGGAGGAAGAGAGGAACAUCUUGAUCCAGGUUGAAAUCUGAAGAAAACUUGAACCCAGAUUCCAGAAAUUCUAAAUUACACAGAGGCAAAGUUUUGGCCAGGUCACCAAGAAGGAAACAGUCCAUAAUCAGAGAACACACCAG